Molecule: ribosomal RNA, 250 nt
Filed under: uncultured bacterium
Lineage: Bacteria
Description: partial 16S ribosomal RNA
Rfam family: Bacterial small subunit ribosomal RNA
Source: RNAcentral
UAGAUACCCUGGUAGUCCACGCCGUAAACGAUGGAUACUAGCUGUUGGGAUUUAUCUCAGUGGCUAAGCGAAAGUGAUAAGUAUCCCACCUGGGGAGUACGUUCGCAAGAAUGAAACUCAAAGGAAUUGACGGGGGCCCGCACAAGCGGUGGAGCAUGUGGUUUAAUUCGAUGAUACGCGAGGAACCUUACCAAGGCUUAAAUGUAGAUUGACAGGACUGGAAACAGUUUUUCCUUCGGGCAAUUUACAA